Molecule: ribosomal RNA, 346 nt
Filed under: uncultured bacterium
Lineage: Bacteria
Description: partial 16S ribosomal RNA
Rfam family: Bacterial small subunit ribosomal RNA
Source: RNAcentral
CCUACGGGAGGCAGCAGUGAGGAAUAUUGGUCAAUGGACGAGAGUCUGAACCAGCCAAGUAGCGUGAAGGAUGACUGCCCUAUGGGUUGUAAACUUCUUUUAUAGGGGAAUAAAAUGUUCCACGUGUGGGAUUUUGUAUGGACCAUAUGAAUAAGGAUCGACUAACUCCGUGCCAGCAGCCGCGGUAAUACGGAGGAUCCGAGCGUGAUCCGGAUUUAUUGGGUUUAAAGGGAGCGUAGGUGGAUUGUUAAGUCAGUUGUGAAAGUUUGCGGCUCAACCGUAAAAUUGCAGUUGAAACUGGCAGUCUUUAUUCCAGUAGAGGUGGGCGGACUUCGUUUUGUAGCCG